UUUGCCUUGUAGUAGUUUCAUUUUACAAAUAAAUUCAAACAUUAUGACAACUAAAAACAGAAAAUUUUGUGAUGAACAUCGUUUUUUUAAUAAUUCCUGGGUUGAUAUUUUAUACUUAAAAUAAUCAAAUACAAUUAUAAGUAUUAUAUCAUAAUAUGUAAUUUUUUUUUAAUGUGGCCCUUGAUGAACAAUUGAAAAAAUUAUGGCCCGCGUGGUUAAAAAGGUUGCCGACCCCUGCUCUACACUGUAGAGUAUACAGUCUACGCAAGGUGGAUACAUAUCCACCUUGAGUCUACAAUACUGACCGCUGGGUAGAGGAGUGAAGAUGGAGACGAUAGAAUAUCGAUGGCUCCCGUUGACGAUGAGCGCAGCACAUGUCCGAGCAUAGAAACCCCGACAACCGUUACAGUUAUCGAAAAGAAGUAAAGACCAGAAAGUUCUCAGAUGCAACACACGAUUUCGUAAAAUAAUUAAACUAAAUUCAGCGAACGUCGUGCUUAUUCUUCAUUGCAAACGAACUUUAGGUGCUAGCGGUUGGCAAUUGGAAAUUGACGGACCACAGAGGGCAGAAAGCUGGACCAUCAAAAUAUCUCAAUAAGAUUGUAAAUUACUUGCUGACCCCUGUGCUACAACUAGCCUUAGAGGCUAAAAUGCUCAUUGCGUGAUCACGGAUCGACUACGCUACUACGGUUCAUAUCAAUAUUGUUUAAUUCUCCAACGGUUUUACGCGAACGCGCGUCAUUACUCAUUUAUAUAUCCUCGGAGAACUUCCUAUACACAAUAUAGCAUUCAGAUGACAGACUAGAGCACAGACUUCAAACGACUCAAUUGAGGGAAUUAUUCAGGAUUUAGCUGAGAGUGCUGGAGAAACCAAUACCUAUAUAGCUAUCUCAGAAAAAUAUAUUGGACGAAAAAUUAGUAAGAUAUUUAUUAAAUUGUAGAAUAUAUUAUAGAUACUGUUAUUCCAAUUUCGAUUUGUGUCUUAAAAUUAUUUUAAUGUAAAAUUGAACAUGAAUCGCCGCGGUAAUAGAGGGAUUAUCUCUCCCAUCCCCUUAAGUAUGUCGAGUAUCAGCGCAUCUUUUUUUG
Molecule: long non-coding RNA, 1086 nt
Organism: Rhopalosiphum padi (bird cherry-oat aphid)
Lineage: Eukaryota; Metazoa; Arthropoda; Insecta; Hemiptera; Aphididae
Exons: 5
Source: RefSeq, a predicted model, not a curated record